AAAUUAAAAAUCUCGAAGAUAUAAUUAUUGCUUCUUUUUUUUUUUUCUUUUUUUUUUAAUAUUCUAUAUACACUAAUAUAUUUCCAUGCAAUUAUCACGAUCGCUUAUUUAUCUUUUAUAUUUAACAAUCUAUUUCCUGUUUCUUGUGUUCCAUUUAUAUUAGCAUUAUGAUACGUGGAUAUUUUUCUUUGAAUGUGUGAGUUUCUGUUCUGUCCUCGCUUAAGAUUGAAAAACUGGUAAACGAAUGAAAACGUGACGUUCACGGCAACACACCGAUUGAAUACAAAUGUUCCAAGCAAGACUAACCUAACAUUGUAUCAAUAUGGCGGCGGAUGGCCAACCUUCUGACUUAAUAUACCGACCUCAAAUUCUCAAUUCUUCGUGUGCAAUAUGACACGAAGUGUAUUUACAAA
This is a long non-coding RNA of Apis dorsata (giant honeybee), 413 nucleotides long. RefSeq lists it as uncharacterized. NCBI's taxonomy places the organism in Eukaryota, Metazoa, Arthropoda, Insecta, Hymenoptera, Apidae. The record is from RefSeq and is a predicted model, not a curated record. The transcript has 2 exons.